This 253-nucleotide ribosomal RNA is filed under the name uncultured bacterium. RNAcentral describes it as "partial 16S ribosomal RNA". It matches the Rfam family "Bacterial small subunit ribosomal RNA", at positions 524 to 776 of the family's 1533-position model. The record is from RNAcentral.
UACGGGGGGGGCAAGCGUUGUUCGGAAUUACUGGGCGUAAAGGGCUCGUAGGUGGCCAACUAAGUCGGACGUGAAAUCCCUCAGCUUAACUGGGGAACUGCGUCUGAUACUGGAUGGCUUGAGUUUGGGAGAGGGAUGCGGAAUUCCAGGUGUAGCGGUGAAAUGCGUAGAUAUCUGGAGGAACACCGGUGGCGAAGGCGGCAUCCUGGACCAAUACUGACACUGAGGAGCGAAAGCCAGGGGAGCAAACGGG